Nicotiana tabacum (common tobacco) is the source of this 832-nucleotide long non-coding RNA. RefSeq lists it as uncharacterized. The record is from RefSeq and is a predicted model, not a curated record. Lineage: Eukaryota; Viridiplantae; Streptophyta; Magnoliopsida; Solanales; Solanaceae.
ACGAUACGCGCCUUUUCCAUCGACGUGGAAGACAAACCAGUUCUUGCUUCUGCUGCUGUCAGCUGUUUCUCCAGAUGUGUAGCACCUGUAUUUGGAUGGAUAUCCGAAUAGGGGUGACACUAAUAAUAUUUGCAACAACUUCUGUUUUACUUUGGGUUUUCUGACUUACUGCUCUGUUCCUUUAAGUGUCUCUGCUUGCUGGCUGGAACAAAAUUGCUGGCGUUUCUCCUAAGUUCAGUACAAUUAACAUACUUGCAGAAGAAGUUUAGCACUGUAAAGAGUCUACAUAAUACGUGGAGUACAGAUUAACCAUUGAUAGGAUUACUCCACAAACAAAAGAGUGGACAUCAAAGGUACAACUGAUUGAGAAACCGCGGCCAAGGCAAAGUAAAGAUGGAAAGAUGCGAUUCCAGAUUGCUGUUGUCCGAGAUGAAAAAGAAGAGCAAGUAGCCGCUGUUCUGUACGGGGAAGACAUAGAAAAGUAUGCAGACAAGCUCACCCCGUUUUCCACUUACUUGAUAUCAAUGCAAAAGUGAUGGUUCCUUUACCCUACGGAGUGCCUAUCAACCGUUUUGAAUGGGUUAUUGACAAAUUCACUGUCGUCGAAAAGGUGAAAGAUGAUAACAUACAAGACCCACCGCUCCUGCCACCGACGAGGUUGAAUAUUGUACCCUUUGCCUUUGCACGAGCAGCAGCGAAAUACCGAAUUUGGUACCCAUUAUUUAACGCGUAGUAUAUUCUAACAAUUAAAAUUUAUUUGUAUCCUUAGAUUCUGAAACUGUGUACAUUGGUCUAAAUUAUAAGUCAUUUGCAAUGUUCACUAAACAGACAU